This 22-nucleotide non-coding RNA is filed under the name Arabidopsis thaliana (thale cress). The record is from RNAcentral. Lineage: Eukaryota; Viridiplantae; Streptophyta; Magnoliopsida; Brassicales; Brassicaceae.
GUCGCCGCGUGCCGGCCGGGGG